UUUUUUUUUUUUUUUUUUUUAGGUAGAAUCCCUUAGUGACAAGGUUGAUAUUUCUUUGACAACAUGCUUCGAACUCUGAUUCCCUCCUCUACUCCUACACCACCACAUUUCAUGGCUUCAUUGCAUUUAUUGACACUGAACAGGCCAACUCCCUUAAAAGAGCUAGGUGUGGUUUAUGGCAAUUACAAACAAAUAGUGAAAGUAUGAUUUUCUCCUGACAUGUACACCUCCUCUAUAGUUCAGAAAUCAUGUGUGGAUGUUCUGGGAUUGAACAUUAGGCAUCAUGCUCACAAGAUGAUUGUCAAAAAUGGGUCACAUACAUUAGCUUAUGCCGUGGCACCGGCUGCAGAAUAUUUCAACCAUCCGAUAACACUUGUAUUACAUGUUUUAAAGUCUGUCAAGUCAGUACCUGAUACUCUCAAACUGAAAAGUAUAGGGGCUUGAUUUAACACACUUUAAGCUGGUGGACUCAAUGGCCAAAAGUAAAAAAUUUCAGGGAUAAAAUGUUAAAAUAUUGAACAGUCACAAGAACUGUUGCCUCACAAGUGGAGACCUUCAUAGAUCCAAAAGAAAGACCUCAGCCAUGCCACGUUCUCAUCAAGCACAUGCCAAAUUAUCUUUCAUACAUUAGAAUACCUUAAAUAUAGAUGCCUCAUUCUCAGAUGGGACUAGCAAAUAACUAUGAUGCAUGCCUCUUAAAUCCUUAAACAUACCUCAGCAGGGUUGUAAUCAGUUA
Molecule: unclassified non-coding RNA, 736 nt
Filed under: Hevea brasiliensis (rubber tree)
Lineage: Eukaryota; Viridiplantae; Streptophyta; Magnoliopsida; Malpighiales; Euphorbiaceae
Source: RNAcentral